AUGGAGAGCUUGUCGCCGGCGAUGAAGGCGGUGUACGAAUUCCUCAAGGCCGACCUGGCGGAAUCCCUCGAUGCCCGCUUCAAGCGACAGGAUGAAGAGACAGCGAAGUCGAUGCGCUCCAUCAUGGGGAAUCUGACGACGCGCAUCGACGACCUCAAGAUGUCGAUCGGUGUGGACAUGGACGAGCUCCGCGCCGGCCUGGAUCGACCGCCUGCCGCUCCGACGACGACUCCUACAGGACGGCCCCCGCAGGCAAAGCAAGGUGCGUACAGCAAUCCCGACGCGGCACCGGAGAGCAGCCACAGAGCUACUUCAGCCAAGGGAAAGGAUCAUGUUCCUUACGUUCCGCCACCGGCCAGAGGGCCAGCAGCACGAUGGUUGGAAUCGGUUCAACGUAGAGUGCCAAAUGCGCCGUGGGAGGAUUUCUGUAGGUUAUUGCAGUGCAGAUUUGGGCGCAACCAGCAUCAGGCAUUGGUGCGCAAAUUCCACAGCAUUACUCAGACGGGUUCAGUGGAGGAUUAUGUGGAGCAAUUUGCUGAGCUCUAUGAUCAGUUGUCUGCAUACGAAGCGGUACCUGAAUCAGUGCACUAUGUCACCAAAUUCAUCGAUGGUCUGAAUCCUUCUGUUAGAGUUUUGGUGGCACUACAGCAGCCGACAGAUUUGGAUGCUGCUUAUGAAUUAGCCUUGUUGCAUGAAUCCCUAACCAAUUUGAUUCCUCAGUAUCAUCAAUCGAAUAGGAGGCAACAAUUUUCACACCCAGCAUCCACGGUUAAGACAGUUGCUAGCAAAACCACCGACGACAGGCGAAACAGUUCAAAGGAACUGCUGGAUGAGUACAAGGAUGUAUUUGCUAUUCCCACUGGAUUACCACCGGAGAGAGCUUGUGAUCACUCUAUACCACUUAUUCCAGGUGCAAGACCAUUUUCUCAUAGACCAUACAGAUUAGCUCCAGAACUUAAGGAUGAGGUGGAAAAGCGGAUACAAGAGAUGCUAGACUUUGGUGGUGAGGGUUUGCAGUUUGAUUGGUGGCUGCGGCGGUGGCGGAAUUGGCGGCGACGAGGCGGCGGCGUUGUGACGGGGUCGUGGCACGGCGGCGCCCAGCUCUACGUGUCGCUCAAGAUGGAGAACGCGCGGAUCAUUGGCGACCUCGUGCCGCACCUCGCGGUGGAAAGGGAGCUGGCGUCCAUGCGGGAGCUCAGCUUAGUUGUGUUGCCGGACCAUGAAACACUUGACUUCAAAUUCUUGCUCAAGCCCAAGGACGCGGAGACCCCGUGCAUCACUGAGGAACGGCUGACGCGGCUCCUCACCAGGGGCAUGCUCCAGGAAACACUUGACUUCAAAUUCUUGCUCAAGCCCAAGGACGCGGAGACCCCGUGCAUCACUGAGGAACGGCCGACGCGGCUCCUCACCAGGGGCAUGCUCCAGGGUGAUGUGAGGCUUGCAAACUUCAGGCUUAAUGGAGAUGAUCAGUUGCUUGAAUCCGACGCCGUUCCAGCUUAUCGUUGCCUCGCCGCCGUGAAAAAGUUGGGAAAGGGGAAGGAGGCUAUCGUCUUGCGGUUGGGCCGGAGUAGGGGUGAGUUGGAUGCCGCUGAUGUCUUCGUGCAACGGAGGAGGGUUAGGGUUUGCUAUUUGAUUGGUGGCUGCGGCGGCGGCGACGGAGUUGGCGGGGACGAGGGCGGCGGCGCCGUGACGGGGUCGUGGCAUGGCAGCGCCCAGCUCUACGUGUCGCUCAAGAUGGAGAACGUGUGGAUCAUUGGCGACCUCGUGCCGCACCUCGCGAUGGAAAGGGAGCUGGCGAACAUGCGGGAGGUCAGCUUAGUUGUGUUGCCGGACCAUGAAACACUUGAGUUCAAAUUCUUGCUCAAGCCCAAGGACGCGGAGACCCCGUGCAUCACUGAGGAACGGCCGACGCGGCUCCUCACCAGGGGCAUGCUCCAGGGUGAUGUGAGGCUUGCAAACUUCAGGCUUAAUGGAGAUGAUCAGUUGCUUGAGUAUAAAUGA
RNAcentral lists this ribosomal RNA (2001 nucleotides) under Triticum aestivum (bread wheat). RNAcentral's name for it is "partial small subunit ribosomal RNA". The record is from RNAcentral. Lineage: Eukaryota; Viridiplantae; Streptophyta; Magnoliopsida; Poales; Poaceae.